This 599-nucleotide ribosomal RNA is filed under the name Bacillus subtilis. Its description in RNAcentral is "bacterial SSU rRNA". It matches the Rfam family "Bacterial small subunit ribosomal RNA", at positions 357 to 951 of the family's 1533-position model. The record is from RNAcentral. Lineage: Bacteria; Bacillati; Bacillota; Bacilli; Caryophanales; Bacillaceae.
AGGACUUCCGCAUGGACGAAGUCUGACGGAGCACGCCGCGUGAGUGAUGAAGGUUUUCGGAUCGUAAAGCUCUGUUGUUAGGGAAGAACAAGUACCGUUCGAAUAGGGCGGUACCUUGACGGUACCUAACCAGAAAGCCACGGCUAACUACGUGCCAGCAGCCGCGGUAAUACGUAGGUGGCAAGCGUUGUCCGGAAUUAUUGGGCGUAAAGGGCUCGCAGGCGGUUUCUUAAGUCUGAUGUGAAAGCCCCCGGCUCAACCGGGGAGGGUCAUUGGAAACUGGGGAACUUGAGUGCAGAAGAGGAGAGUGGAAUUCCACGUGUAGCGGUGAAAUGCGUAGAGAUGUGGAGGAACACCAGUGGCGAAGGCGACUCUCUGGUCUGUAACUGACGCUGAGGAGCGAAAGCGUGGGGAGCGAACAGGAUUAGAUACCCUGGUAGUCCACGCCGUAAACGAUGAGUGCUAAGUGUUAGGGGGUUUCCGCCCCUUAGUGCUGCAGCUAACGCAUUAAGCACUCCGCCUGGGGAGUACGGUCGCAAGACUGAAACUCAAANGAAUUGACGGGGGCCCGCACAAACGGUGGANCAUGUGGUUUAUUC